UACCAAGGCGAAGACGGGUAGCUAGUCUGAGAGGAUGGCCAGCCACACGGGGACUGAGACACGGCCCCGACUCCUACGGGAGGCAGCAGUGGGGAAUAUUGGGCAAUGGGGGCAACCCUGACCCAGCGACGCCGCGUGGGUGACGAAGGCCUUCGGGUCGUAAAGCCCUGUCAGGUGGAACGAAUGGCUCCGGGGUGAAGAGCCCCGGGGCGUGACGGUACCACCGAAGGAAGCACCGGCCAACUCCGUGCCAGCAGCCGCGGUAAGACGGAGGGUGCAAGCGUUGCUCGGAAUUACUGGGCGUAAAGGGUGCGUAGGCGGCCGCGUGAGUCUGACGUGAAAGCCCAGGGCUCAGCCGUGGAAGCGCGCCAGAAACUGCGCGGCUGGAGUGCCGGAGGGGAGAGUGGAAUUCCCGGUGUAGCGGUGAAAUGCGUAGAGAUCGGGAGGAAUACCGGUGGCGAAAGCGACUCUCUGGACGGCCACUGACGCUGAGGCANGAA
RNAcentral lists this ribosomal RNA (500 nucleotides) under uncultured soil bacterium S0189. RNAcentral's name for it is "bacterial SSU rRNA". It matches the Rfam family "Bacterial small subunit ribosomal RNA", at positions 266 to 757 of the family's 1533-position model. The record is from RNAcentral.